UUUUUUUUUUUUUGGCCUUGUCGGGUAAAACUGAGGUAUUUGACGGUGUAACUUUCAGCCGUGUUGGAGAGAGCGUUAGUUUUGCAGAGCCCACCUGUGCGUUGCGUUCCAUUUCUACUACAUUAGGGUGAGAGCUCUCUUUAAUCCACUGCGCUGAACGCAGCGGGUGCGGUAACAGCGGAGAUACACGAGCCUGAAGAGAAGGAAGACAAUCCCUGCGAUGGUGGUUUUGAAAUCCAGUGAAAUGCUGGCUUCAGUUAAAAUCCGGCAGGUCCUUUUCUUAUUUUCAGCCUCCUGGUUUCUCGGGAUGGAAUCGCACCUAAUGAUCGGGAUAAUGACAUUUAGGAAAAGGCUGUGUUUUAAAAUCCGCAGGGAAAACUACAUUUUGGGUUAGAUUAAAUACUGCCAUUCCUGGUAGAUAAUUAUUAGCGAGAGUUGUCUGAAGUUGUUCUUUGCCAGAUUCCCUGAAAAAUUCAAUAUAUGUUUGGUUUUGUUUUUUUUUUUUAAUUCAGUUGCCCCUUUUUUCUCUUGUGGGUUUUCCGAUUUUCUUUAAAUGCCUUUUUUAACUCCACAGCGCAAGUUAGGCCCUCCUCAUGGAAUUAUAUAUCAUGAUUGUGUUUCCUAAUUUGUCUAGGUAAAGUACGCCUGUACGAAUAAAAAGACGAGUGCAGGGUGAAAAUAGUUAUUAAAUGUUAUUUUAAAAUCAUGUCAGGGCUGCUGAGGAUGAUGGGCACAACGGCAGCAAAGGGAAUCUGCUGCAUCGCCACGUUGGUCUGUCAUGAGCAGCACCCGCUUCUGGCGUUCAUCUGUAAAAUUUGGUGGUGGUUAUGUUUCUGUUGCACAAUCUCCGGCCUUUAAACAAGACUUCUUUUUAAUGUAGCUUGGCUGAAAUCACGGUCCCGUUGUGUCAGUGACAGAAUCGUCCCAAAGAGUAUAAUUUCCAACAGGAAGGGAAUGGAGAGGAGGAGAAGAGAAGCGGUGUUGCCAGGUCACACAGCAAGUUUGUGACAGAAUUAGGGUUGCAUCCUCAAUAUUCUGUGUCUCAUUCUGACCCUAUCUCCGCUGGGACACCUUUAGGGAUGCCUCCACUUGUUCACCAUGAAUGAGAACACUCUGACUACCUCGUUCAUACAGCCCUGAAAAUGAUGCUGACUUUCAUUCAUCAGUGAACUAUAUGAAGUUCAGGCUCAUAGCCUUAGGGUGAAAAGUUGUAUGGACUUCAAAGCGAUAGGGACUCUGUAAAUAGCUAAGAAAGAAUGCAUAGACUGUUGCCAGUCCCUUGGGCUAUCGAGGCCUCUUCUGCAUCUGUAUGAGGUGGAGUUCACAGCCAUUCUGAGGAGACAUUACCGUUUAAGGGAACUGAAUAAGAUACAAUAUUUAAGUGCAAUAUUUUUUUUUUGACCUUGGUUUACUAUAUGCUGUUCAUUCCACAGUUACUCUGUGCAAAACUGACAAAGGUUUAUAUGACGAAUAAAAACGAAGUCAUUAUAACAUGCGCAGCACAGAUUUCUUCUAAGUUUCAUGUAACUUACGGUAAUAAUUUGUUGCUUAUCUACUAAAGAAAUUUCCAAAAUGUAUUGUAGUCCCACUCUAAAAUUUAAUUCUUUUGCAAGCUGCGUUCUUUCAGGUACUUACUUAUGUGUGGCAUACCAUUACUACUUGAAAAUAGGCAAAGAACAACUGAGUGGAAUGUAGUGAUGUAAGAGUUCUACUUUUUUUUUUCAUAGUGUUUGCUGGGGUUUGUUUUGUUUUGAAUUGGCUUAAGAGGAAAGGGAAUAUAAAGUACAAUGGAAGGCUGGAGGUCUAUAGAUAAUACUUCAUGAGCUAGAGUAACUAGUUCUUUGAAUCAAAAGCUUGCCUUCCCUCUCAUAAUCUGAAAGGAACAUGAGAAAAGGAUAAUGAUUUCAGCAUUUAUAGUCUAUAUCUUUCCAGCAGGCACUUUGCUCCCUACAUCCCACUUUAUAGGCUCAAAAUAGUCAAAUUAUCAGUUUACUCCCAGGAAGUGAAAAAGGUAGCACAUCACAGAAAUAAUUUAAAAGUUACAACAAGGAAAAUUUAGGACUACUUUUCCCGGGUAUCAAACAUUAACUGUAAGUAACACACAUGGUAUAUUGUCUUCUGCUUGACACAUUUCAGUAAGUUAUAUUCAGUACUACUAUCACUUCACUGGUUAUACAUUGUUCUGCAUGACAUUUUCAGUACAGAGUGACAGCUACAGUCCAUUUAUUUGGGGAAAAAAGAAUUUAAAAUCAUGGUGCCAUUUCUAAGAAUAGAAUUGGGAGAAAUAAAGGAAAAGUGAAGAAUUAUCAAGUAAUUUUGUCACAUAUAAAAAAUAUAAAAUAUUUUUAUAAUUUAAAAGACAGCACAAGUGAUUGGAGGCACAAAAGUUAAAAUAGUGGAAGGGACAGUAAAAUUCGUAGUAAUAAGUCGAAUAAGCAGAGUUGGAUGAUAAAAAUAGGAGAGAAAGAUAAUCGGGCACUUACUAGUAAGAGAUUAGUUAUCAUUCCCUGUUGGGCUGCUAGUCAGAAAUUUAAUCCUACCUUUCCUUUGAAGGCUAGCAUAUAACUAUAAAGUUAUGACAAAGUAGUUAUCAUUAAUCCUCGAGAACAGCUUUCAAAUGCUAUCAGUAUGAAAUGUUAAAUGAAGCUUCUCAAGUACAGAAAUUAAUUGUUAUAGGUGUCAAUACUCGGUUCAAUCUCUGUAUCUUAGAUACUUCUUUGGAUAAUGUAUCUUCCUCUCCUACAGAUCCAUAAAAAUACAUUGAUCGUCAUGGAUCCCUACAGUGCUAUGAGAAGACAUGCUGAAUGCUCAGCAGUGUGAUAGUGACAUUGAAAACUCUUGCUUAUUUUGACUCAGAAAUGUCAGGUGGUGUUGCUGGAAUUAAUCACUUCUCCAUACACCAGACUACUGGCAUCCUGAAUUUGUUACAUCAAAGGAUAUUGACUGAGAAGACAAAUAAUUAAAUGACCCAUAACACAGGGCAACAUUUUACUGUCUAUGCUGGAGUUACCUGGUAUCCAGUCCUGGUAUGCUUUCCCCUUUGAUACUGGGGUUAUAAAUCUUCUUAAAG
Long non-coding RNA from Cuculus canorus (common cuckoo), 3070 nucleotides. RefSeq lists it as uncharacterized. The record is from RefSeq and is a predicted model, not a curated record. Lineage: Eukaryota; Metazoa; Chordata; Aves; Cuculiformes; Cuculidae. The transcript has 3 exons.